UAGGGAAUAUUGCACAAUGGAGGAAACUCUGAUGCAGCGACGCCGCGUGAGUGACGAAGGCCUUCGGGUCGUAAAGCUCUGUUCUCGUGGAAAAAGAAAGUGAUUGUACACGAGAAGAAAGGACCGGCUAACUUCGUGCCAGCAGCCGCGGUAAGACGAGGGGUCCAAGCGUUGUUCGGAAUCAUUGGGCGUAAAGCGGGUGUAGGUGGCUCUAUAAGUCAGGAGUGAAAGCCCUGGGCUUAACUCAGGAAGUGCUUUUGAUACUGUAGAGCUUGAAUGUGGGAGAGGAUGAUAGAAUUCCAGGUGUAGUGGUGAAAUACGUAGAUAUCUGGAGGAAUACCGGUGGCGAAGGCGGUCAUCUGGCCCAACAUUGACACUGAGACCCGAAAGCGUGGGGAUCAAACA
This 405-nucleotide ribosomal RNA is filed under the name uncultured bacterium. RNAcentral describes it as "bacterial SSU rRNA". It matches the Rfam family "Bacterial small subunit ribosomal RNA", at positions 355 to 774 of the family's 1533-position model. The record is from RNAcentral.